AAAAUCAGCCUGUAACCAUCUUGCCCAGGAGCUCGUGUUCUCAAGAAGUGGCUAAUAUGGGAAGGAGACCUCAGCCUGGGUGUAGCUGGGCACUGGCAUUUAACAGGCCCAGAUGGAGUGCAAAUGACUCAGGUAUGGAGCUGCGAUUUGCCUUUCUCAACGUGCUAGGACUCUUUUGGAUUCAAGUUCUUGUGCACAGGUGGUCCUGCACUGCACAGCUGGAACCGCUGCAAGAAAGACCUAUGUAUGUACAAAGCACGUGUUCUUUGGACAAUGCAUUAAUUCACUAAAAAGCGGACAGAUACAUUUCUUUUGGAUAGGUUUUUGGAUUUUCUGAUUUAGGGUAUUUGUGUUUUCUUUUGCUUCAUGUCUUUUUAAAGAAGUAAAUAGACUAAAAAUCAUAUAUGUUAAACAUGAUAGACCUGAGCUACUUUUUUCAGCUGGAACUGAAUAUAACAACAGUUUUAAAGCAGAAUGCUGUAUUUUGACCUGUUAAAAUUACAUGUAUCAUUUACAUGAAUCUGAAUUGGAGAAACUAUGUAUUUUAUUUAUAUAACCACUUUUUAUAAAAUCACCCAUAUGAACAGAAAUGUAUCUGUCAACGACGCAA
Molecule: long non-coding RNA, 610 nt
Filed under: Junco hyemalis (dark-eyed junco)
Lineage: Eukaryota; Metazoa; Chordata; Aves; Passeriformes; Passerellidae
Description: lncRNA (ENSJHYG00000001734.1)
Source: RNAcentral